RNAcentral lists this transfer RNA (88 nucleotides) under Paenibacillus polymyxa. Its description in RNAcentral is "tRNA-Ser". It matches the Rfam family "tRNA". From Rfam's summary of the family: Transfer RNA (tRNA) molecules are approximately 80 nucleotides in length. Their secondary structure includes four short double-helical elements and three loops (D, anti-codon, and T loops). RNAcentral also lists the same sequence under 1 other name. The record is from RNAcentral. Lineage: Bacteria; Bacillati; Bacillota; Bacilli; Caryophanales; Paenibacillaceae.
GGAGAGUUGACAGAGAGGCUUAAUGUGCCAGUUUCGAAAACUGGAGGGUGUAACAGCUCCAAGGGUUCAAAUCCCUUACUCUCCACCA